GCUAGUAAGUGGAAGCUGGAACCCUGUCCUGGCAGGCUGUCUCUAGAGCCAUACAGUGGGUGACAACUGGGGACACCAAACGCUCUGAGCUGGAAUGAGGGAAUGGCUGCUUUGGUCUGGGAAUGCAGACUGGCCCAUGGGGUCCCAGAGAAUCUAAAACUAUCCAUAAUAGCUUUCAGAAGAUUUCCCAGCAGGUAGGGGAUUUACAGCAUCUCUGGCUCCUAUUUGCAGCUCUGGAAACUGAGGCCCGGGGAGAUUAAGGCUACAUGGAAUGCCUGUAGUUGAAGAGGUAGCUGCAGGAGAGUGGAAUUUGCACUGUGUCACACACUAUCAGGGGUAGACUCAGUGUCCAGGAGGUGUGCGUGUCUAUACCCGCACAGGUGCUUCUGGGGCGAGGCAGAAGCCCCCUGCUGAGGAAUACAGGAGGGAAGAUAUGCUUUGGCUCUCUCCAGUGGCUUUCAAGCAAAAAGCCCCAAGUGCUUUGCGGACGUCCAGCCAUGGCUUAGCGCCUGAGUUGCACUGACUGGCUGACAAGGCUCUCUGCCCAGCUUCCAGGGGCCGCGUCUCCACAGGCAGGCAGGCUGGCAGGAGGUCGGAAUCAACCAGAAGAGCUCUGCUGCUCUCCAGGGGCCACGUUACCCCGUGGGCUUGCUGAAGUGAGUGGUCCGCGGAGCACCCACAGCCAAAGGCCCCAGGGGGUAAUGGCAGACAGGCCUGAGAGAUUGACCACGUCCUUUCAAUGCUCUAUCUCAUCCAGCCUUGGCAGUGACCCGGUGAAGGAGCCAGGCAUGCUCCUCCCUGUGUCACAGACAAGGAAACUGAGGCUCAAGAUCGAAGUUAGAAAACGACAUUUCGGGCACCUCAAACUAAAUCUCCUGGCUCCUGUUCCAGGCCGGUCUUCAUAUAUCCUAUACUGUCUUGAGCACCCACAGCAUUUAAAAUACCAAGCAGAACGCGGAGCUUUGAGCCUAAAUUGGGCCGGCCCGGGGGGACCAGUUCAGGGGGCAGCCUGUGCAGCCAGCGAUUGAUAUAUGCAGGCCUGCCCGAAGCCGGAUAGACUGUGGCUCCCUGGGUACCCCUACUUGCCCUGCUUCCCCUCCCAGGCCUCUUCACGUCGGACUUGACGCUGUCAUACAUGCCGCUUCCUGUCCUUGAUGUCUCUCCUCCUGCCUCUUCACCAUGUCCCUUCCCUCCAACGCCCCCUGGACACUCACCUCCCAUAAUGAAACCAUGACUGUCUCGUGGGAGGAAAAUGAGGCCGCCCUCUCUCUUUGUUCUAUGGCUCCUCCCAGGAGUCCUCCCGAUUGUUCUAAACCCUGUAGUCCUCACCUCUGUGCAUCUCGUGACUCCUGUGUCCUUGAUUCUCAGCUGUGGCUUCAGCCGUGGUACCCUCCCUACAUGUUGAGGCACGUUUGCCAUUAUUUUGCCCAGGAGAGAAAGCUGUGUUAGACACCAUACAUGAAGUUACACGAAGUCACAAAGUCACUACAACAGCCUCUGGGUCCAGCUAGGCCGCGAUGGUGACAGCCCCAAAGCUUCACCAGGCCCUCCUGAGGCAGUGUCACUGCUCCAGAGCCCCUUUGCAGUUCCCCAUGCUGUGCUGAUCAGGUGUCAUCUGUGUCUACAGAAGCCAAGGUCUUCAGCACGUGUGGCUUUUCCAGCUGUCCUAGAAUUGCUCUUCCACGCUGCCCAAAUCCCCCUCCUGCGCCUCCACCACCUUCACUGUGCGACGAAUACUGGCUCCCUUUCCCCAUGCCAGGCUGUGUGCUAAGCACUCACCAUGCUUUUUCUCAUUAAUCCAUGCCACCACCUAUGGAUAUUUUUACCCACAUUUUACAGAUAAGAAAAACGAGGCUCAGAGAGAAGAAAUAAGUUGCCUAAGGUUGCAUAGCUAAUCAGUGGUAGGGGCUGGAUUUGAACCAGCAUCUUCUUAACCACUGAGCUGGAUUGCUCGUUCAGUGUCUGAGGGCUGGUCAGAGGACCAGCUUCAGGGAUGCCUUCAUGGAGCUCUGCCUCAGGCCUUUGACGACACCCUUCACCACCAUGGUUUACCCUCGUGAGACAUAAGCCAAAUCUGAGUCCAGUGAAGUUGAUCAAAAAAUGGAUUGUUAUUUGAAAUAGGAAAAAAACGGGAGUGGGGUGACGACACCCUCUUCUUUGAGUAACUACUUACUGAGCACCUUCUGUGUUCCCCGGCACUGUUCUAGGUCCCAGAUGAAAUAAACAAAUGCCCUCAUGGAGCUCCCAGUCUAGUAAAUUACAUGGUAUGGCACAGGAUGAUGAGUGCUAAGAAGAAAGGUAAAUCCAGGAGGAAAGAGGAGGAGUCCUGGUGGGUGAGGGCUGCCUCUCUGGCCAGGGAGAUGAGGAAUGGCCGAGGCCUCUGCUGCCUGGGAGAUAGUCCUCCCCAAGGCAGAGUGUGGUGCUGAGGCUGGGAGUGUUUUAGGGGAUAGAGGGGUCAGAGGCUGGGCCUCCUCAUUUCUGCGGGUGGUGACAUAGAGGCCAGGUCUAGAAAGGGAAGUCCACCUGGAGCUCUAGCUGUUGGGGCUAAGAAUGGUGCUGUGUGUUGCUGAACGUGACAACGUGUAUUGAUUCUCUCCAUUACCAGUGAGCAAAGAGGCCUUUGUGAAACCUGAGUCCCAGGCUAGCUCUCUUCUGGGCCUCCUCUGCCUCCUCCCUGGCCCUGCCCCCACCUCCUCAGAUUGGUUUGGCCUAAAACCACGCAGAGUAAUUUUACCCAAACCUAAAAAAUAUAAGUAGAAAAGUAAAUAUGUUAGUCAAAAGAGUUUUAUUCUGCAUUUCAAAAUCAAAUGUAAAUAAUUUUAAAACAUCAUGGUUUCUCCCUCCCUUGAAAUGAACAUUUACGACGGCCUCCUGAGGACCAGGUCCUUGCCACCUAUUAUCUCAUUUAAACCAACCCUCACCACAAACUUGUGACCUAGGCAUUAUCAUCCCCAUUCUCUAGGUUUAAAAAAAACCCCAAGUAUUAUGUUAAGUGAAAUAAGCGAGAUAGAGAAAGACAAUCUCUGUAUGACUCCACUCAUAUGUGGAAGUUAAACACGUGGACAAAGAGAACAGAUUAGUGGUUACCGGGGGAAAAGGGGCAUAGGGGGUGGGCACAAAGGGUGAAGUGGUGCACCUAUAAUAUGACUGACAAAUAAAAGUGUACAACUGAAAUUUCACAAGGUUGUAAACUAUCAUAAUCUCAAUAAAAAGUAAAAAACAAAAACCCAAGGCUUAAAAAGGUAAAGUUACCGUACCGAAGUUAUAUAAAUGACAAGCUUAGGUUUUUAACCCAGGUGUGACUGCCCCAAACGUCUGUGCCAUUUCUGUUUCUCCAUCAAGACCGAACUUGGCCAUUUAUGUAGAAAGAGUAAUCUUGGGCAAACUAGUUAACCACCCAUUGCCUCAGUUUCCCAUUUGUAAAUGGGUAUGAUGGUGAUAGGUAAUUUACCCAUUUACCCCACAGUUCUUUCUGAUGGUCAUAUGAGCUCAUGCGUAAGAAGGCUGUAGAACUGUAAGGCGCUGUGAAUAUACGAUAUUAAUCCUCACCUUGAAUUUAGAAGUCAUCAUGGCUUUUUUUUCACUAUCUAACUUUGUUGAUACAGUAGUACAAUUUAGCCUAUCUGGUUUAUUUUCCACAUGCCCAUCCUGAUGGGCUGGUCUCUGGCUGCUGGCCCUAAAUUGUAUCAUCUGUGCUGCUGUCUUCCCAGCGCUUAGUAUCUCCUAUUCCAUGGCUGUCCCCCCGACAUGCUCCUUACUGGUGAGUUCUACCUAUACUACAAUGUUCUUUCUCUGGGACCCCAAGGAGGUAGUCCAUAUACACUCCAGUGUGCUGGUAAAUGUUUGAUAAUCAGCUUUCCAAGUGUAGAAUUGACAUAAGUGUUGGUUGAUUAUUGCAUUUACAAUAAUAAGUAAGAAAAAGUAAAACAACAAAUACCUAUUUCAGAACUUCAUUUUUCAAUGACAGGAGCGACUUCUUUGCUGAAUUGGAUAACCGUUUUUGAAUCCUGGAAGAAUAGUUCCUUGACUCUGUGUUAUUCACAAUGUCGUUGCAAAAGAUAUGGCACACGUUUAUGUUUAAUCUACUUGAUUAACAUGUUCUCUACCACUUUCUUAAGUCUAGACAAGCAACAAAACAAUAAAUCAAACCCUGAAUCGUAGAGUUUGCCAACUUCUGUGGUGUAAAUACUCUUACCACGGCUGAUUUCAACCUACCUGACGUGCAAUUACUGAGUGUGGAAUUGGGAAGAGGUUCACAGCAGCGUCCCACUGUGUGGUAUUCCCACCGUAGAGACAUAAUGGGCGUACAAAUCAAGAGCAUAGAUAAUAGUAAACUGUAGCAGAAUGAUUACAAUGUGAUCUUUUUUUAGUAUUUAAUACCUUUGUUGUUAAUAUAAUUUAUUUAAUUGCAAGUUUAUGCAAUUUAAUUUUUCAUAAUGGCUGUGUUUACCGACUGGAUCACAAAAUUCCUGAAAAUUUAACCAUCAGCCUUCACAAGCCAGUGCAAGCCAGCUCCAGCACACCACUGUCACUUCCCCUCUUCCUAGCAGCCUCCAUGGGCCUCAUGCCAUCUGAUGGCCACACCCUUCGCUGAACAGCUCCUGCUAGUCCAGUCCACAUGAAUCAAGGGAGCAUUAUUCAACGCUCAGCUUCUCCAAAUAAGCAAUGUCGACGGCUUCAGUCCAGUGGAGUGACUUAAUGAUCUGUUUCCUUCAAUAAACUAUGAUUUCUGAGCUUAACUCAGAUACCUGAGCGUCACUGUGAGUGAGAGGGAGGCCAGGAGGCGUUCAUGAUGUAAUAUACUGGGUUUAAACUCCGCAAGCUGAGGGCAUUGUGAGAAACGGAUUUUCUUAGCCGAUUUUAGGAGUUUGGGGUGUUUUUUUAAGCAUUAAGCCAAGGCAAAAAAUAACCCUUGCAACACAUCACUUCACAGCUGGUCGGCCUGGGAGAAGCUAUUCUGGGAUAUCCAAGCUAAGGUGCCUCUUUAAACUCCAGGCGAAAUGGAAUCAGGAUGUGGGGUUUCUAUUCCUGUCUGUGUCGCGGACUUGCUGUGUAAUCCCUGGCCAGUUAGUUCCCUGACUGGUGCCUCAGUUUACCCUCUGGCAAAAUCAAGUCAACUUCCCUUGCCGAGGACAUUAGACUUGAGCUAUGAGGAGUAAAAAAGAUAGUUGCUAUGGUUUACUGGAGGGUUUGGAGUGUCCACUCAAGGAGUCCUUGGUCAUGGAGACUCUAGGAGGAGCUAAGUUGUAGAUGGAAUCUUAAAAGAAAUGACAAAUGAGCAAGGUUUAACAGAGAGGAGCAGGAAGAGGAACCGACGGAAGGUAAAGGAGGAGGGGGGGCCUCCAACCAACAUCCAGUAAAAAUGUUGGGCCAGGGGCCAGAGUAGACUGUGUCUGGUAUUCACCUCUCUAGGGCAGAGUACACGCCAAAAAAUGAAUUCAUAACAGAAGAAAAGGCAGGCACAAUGAGGUUAGCGGAGCCUUUUGUCUGGGUUCGAUGAGACAGUUUCCUGAAAGGAACAUGAUCGAAGUUCUGAUUCUGAGACCUGCGUGGAAGAUGACUAGGGUGUGGGCAAAGUUGGAGGCCAGAUCAGCCUCAAAAACACCCCUGCAAUAUUGCAUCCUGGGUCACCGUAUGAGUACCCUCGCCCCUGCACAUCAGUUGGCAUCAUAGUUCUCAUGGAACAAGCCCCUCUCAUCUGUUGAAUGCUUGCUUGAGCCCACCCUUUGGAUGAAGGAGCAUUAGAAGUGAUCACUGCAUACUUCUUUGUAGCUCCCCCCACGCCUUGGACUGCUAUCGUCUCACUUUUCUUGCCAGCAACCUAGGCAGGAGGAGAUGCUAUCCUUGUCUUAACAUCAGAGACCUACAGAUCUUAAAUGACUUGCUCCAUUUCACAAUCAAGGCUCCAACCCAUCACCUGGCCACAAAUCUUGUGCCUCAUCUACACCAAUCUGUCUCUAUCAAAGCUAAGUCGCUAGUCAAUUUUUCCCAUCCACAGGCCAUAUACCUUUUGAAACGAAAAGCUUGUUGAUCUCUAGGAAAGUUAAAAGGCCAGCUCCAGCUGUUGAACGCUACAAGCUAGCGAAAGUCUCUUCCAAAAGUUCUAUGGGAAGCCUGAGGAUUCUGAAUUCCAAAGCCCUCCAAACGUGGAUUUCUUCUGUAAAGAGACAGUUCCCCCGUUUAGAACAUACCCUUCCUCGUUAAGCUAGUUCCAUGUUUUGUAAUAACUUUUGCUUACACCACAAAAUUGCCGUAGAUUAUGGAAAUGCAUAGGCCUUGGGAAAAAAAAGGCCCUGAGGCCCCUGGAAGUCAUUAUUCCUUCCUUUAGCAAUUGCUGAGUUAAGCACUAAAAAUAUGGUUCCCAUCUUGCUCCCUUCCCCCACCACGUGCACGCGCGCACGCACACACACACACUCACACUCACACACACGAUCUGUUGGACAUAUGUUCAGAAGAAAACAGGGAUGUGGGGGUGGGAGAAGAAGAUUCACAUGUCAUGAGUCAAGGGCUUGAGCAUUUGAAAAGAAAAAGUGGAAGAGGGUGUGGACUCACGGCCCUGGCAAUGGAGUAUCCCAGGAUUUAUUGCCUUUGAGUAUCUCUCAAGGCAAUUUUUUUAAUAAAAAUCUGUAGCUUAUGGCAUUUUUUUUUUUUUUUGGUAUAGCACAGUAAACAAGAACUCUGAAAGGGGAAGGAAGCCAGGAGAAAGCCAGCUCCAUUAGUCACGCAGCUGCAUAUCCUGUCACAAAGGACCCCAGUUGAGUAAUCGCCCAAAAUAUGCCUGUUAUUUUUUUUCUGUCAGAAAAAGAUGGGGCCUGCCAAAUUGUACUGUAAAAAAGAAAAAAACCCUGGUCUCUGAGCCCCAGAGGGGGAAAGGAAAAGAAAGAAGAAACAGGCGUCACUUCUCAGCACUCUUCUAACCCUCUCCCCAACUUAUCUUUAAAAGAAAAAGCCUUCAGACUCCCCAGAGCGAUGGAGACUGGCCUGACAAAAGCCGGCUCCGUGAGACGUCCCAGGUCUCAGAGUCCUUGCAGUUCUGUGGGGCAAGAGCUUGGAAAGAGGAGGGAUGGCAGGAGAGGGUGAGAGGACAGCCCCAAGGGGAGAGGAACAACGGACAGAAAGGGGACCAGGAUAACAAGUCCUUUGAUGGACUUGAAGUGAGGGAGCUAAAUGUCCCACAGGGAAGCUGUGGCAGCCCACACCGGUUCCGUGAGCAUUGCGUGAGUCCAGCCAGCGGCCAAGCACGCUGUGUAAGCAAAACCACCAUUGUUCCGGGCCUCCAUCAUGCCCUAGGCUGUUUGGGCCACAGACUGAACAAGAGCUGUGCGGAAGGAUGUCUGACCCUGGGGAAGUCUGAUGAGCAGGGCCUCGGAAGGACCAGAGCUGCCUACAGUCGCAGGUGUUUUCCUGGAUCGGCUUUCCAAACCCCUGGACAACAGGCUCCUGGUGGGGAAACUGAGGCACAGCAAACGCACAGUCUCAAAGCCAGUUCGAGCUUCAAGACGCAACCCCAGCCGCUGCUUCCCCUGGGAGAACUGACACCCAGAGGCGUCCAAAGGAGCCUAAGAGGAGACAGACAACGGCUUCCCGCAGAGAACUGGCCUGUGAGUUGGAAGGACAGAGUCUCCUCCCAGCUUUGUCGCUGACUUGCUGUGGAAUUUCAGGCAAUGCAAGGGAACUCCCUGUGACUGUGUUUUCCUCUCUUUAAGAUUUAUCAGCUAUGAAUCUGAGCUUCUAUAUGCCUGCAGCAUGCAGCGUACUGGGAACUCAGUGGUGAAUCACACAGAUAGAGUCCCUUUCUUCAUGUAAAACCUGGGCAACCUUUUCCAAACCUUCUGCAGCAUAUGAUUUCUUGAGUUUCCUGAAACCAGCUCCUUGGAUGGGUGAGUCUGGAGGCUGAGGGAUGGGACAGAAACAAACACAACAAAAAUAAACACACAUCACAAUUUUUAAAAAUAGAAAAAAAGCAACCAAAUACUAAUACUAGCAUUUCCAAAAUGCUUGUAGAGAGAAGAUAGUCCCUUAGCAACUGACCAUAGUGAAAAUUCUGCCAGGGCAUCUGGAAUUCACUGUUAGACGUUCCAGCUUAUUGGGAAAUGGAAAGGACCAAGACCACCUGAUGACAAACUAUAUUAACGUCAGUGCCCAACACCCAGGUCAUAUCAAAGUCCAGUUACUGGACUGACUCACGGGGACUCUCCUUCCUCUGCUCAGCAUUAGCUACAGGAAGUACCCAAAGGCUGUUGUCUUCCUGAGGGCUCAGCUUCUUGGUGAGGCCAGGUCCUUCAUGUAAACCGUGAGCUGAAAUCAGAAAUGUCAACACAGGCCGGUUGACUAAUGUUCUGGGGCUAAUGGGCCUGGCACCUGAGGUGAUGCUAUUCUCCCCCGAAUCGCAGGUGAAUGAGGUCUCUGGAGGUGGCACCCCCCACACGGAUUUCCCUUUGUGGUAGCAGUGACAUCUGAGUCACUGAGCAUGUGGCCACCAUUUAGCUUCGCCCCCUCCCCUUCCUGUGCCCCAGAAGGGGGCUGGGGGCAGGUCCUCAGAGCAGAGAAGGCUCCACUUCCUCCGAGCUCCUGACAACAUUUCUCAGCCGCGUCAGGCCUUGCAAGUCUGCGGUCG
This 8617-nucleotide long non-coding RNA is filed under the name Equus caballus (horse). RNAcentral describes it as "lncRNA (ENSECAG00000052600.1)". Lineage: Eukaryota; Metazoa; Chordata; Mammalia; Perissodactyla; Equidae. The record is from RNAcentral.